AGUGAACGCUGGCGGUAGGCCUAACACAUGCAAGUCGAACGGCAGCACAGUAAGAGCUUGCUCUUACGGGUGGCGAGUGGCGGACGGGUGAGGAAUACAUCGGAAUCUACUUUUUCGUGGGGGAUAACGUAGGGAAACUUACGCUAAUACCGCAUACGACCUACGGGUGAAAGCAGGGGAUCUUCGGACCUUGCGCGAUUGAAUGAGCCGAUGUCGGAUUAGCUAGUUGGCGGGGUAAAGGCCCACCAAGGCGACGAUCCGUAGCUGGUCUGAGAGGAUGAUCCGCCACACGGACUCAGAGACGCGGCCGAGACCUCCAGGAGAGGGAGGAGGGGAGUAUAGGAGACAGGGGGCGAAACUGUGCCAGCGAUACAGCGUGUGUGUAAAGAGGCCUCGCGGGUUGUAACGCUUUUUUGGGGGAAGAAAAAAAGAGCAGUUUUAUCCCGCGGUGUUGUGACGGUACCAAAAGUAUACGCCCCCUCACUCCGUG
Molecule: ribosomal RNA, 490 nt
Filed under: uncultured bacterium
Lineage: Bacteria
Description: partial 16S ribosomal RNA
Rfam family: Bacterial small subunit ribosomal RNA
Source: RNAcentral